GGUUAACGGGUCUCUUUUUUUCCUCCUUCGUACAUAUUUUAGUAAAUAAAAAAUCUAAUAGAGGGCUUUUCGUCCAUCUAUCUUCUCCUCUCUCCCUCUCUCCUCUAAUCUCCUAAUGAAUUUGGUCUCCUUCGACAAAUCAUCUGUAAAGGACGACAAAUCUGCUUCAAUUCGAUUCCUACUUCUUAUUAUAUUUGUUUCUGUGCAUCUUCCCUCCUCAAUUAUCGCCGGAACUUGAGGGAGCUUAGGGUUUAUCCGAUUCCAAACAAAGCGUUAUCCGGCUAGAUUCCUUCCGAAAAGGGAGCGUGGUGGAAUUUGAGGAGGUUAAGCUUCCGCGGAGUAAUAUCUCCAGGAGGAUCCGUUGAUAAGAAACUUUAUUUCGUUUUCGUUUUCGUUUUGUUAAUUUAAUUUGUCGUUUAAUCUUCUCACUGGGAAAGUUCCAUGUAGAUUAAUUGGUGUCGGGAAAAUCAGGGUUGUUGAUUUGUUUGAUAAACAACUAUCUGGUAAGAUAAAUGCGGGUUAUGAUUGUUUAAUUUUUUUUGUCUUCUUUCAUCUUCUUCGCAGCCUCGGUGUUGUCUUGCUUUGAAGGCCUUCGAUUCCAAAUUCUUUCAGUACGCACCGAUCUAUGAAUAUCUAGGCUAGUUGGUUUCGUUACCUGCAGACACAAUUUCAAGUUACUACUGUUGACUACACUCCAAUCCCUUUAGAGCACGAGGAAGGUUCAAAGCCAUCUGCUCUAUGAUUCUAACUAUUCAAUUCAGGCAUCAACGUGGAGCAUAUUAUACUAAUGAAGAUGCAAGGUUUAAUUGUUUAAAUGAGUGCAUAGAGUUAGAUAUUUCUUGUACUUGGUACAAACUUUAGAUGUAAUGUAGUUUGUUUUUUCUUUUUUUUCAUGAUCGAUCAUGAACUAUUUGUUUAUAGUUUCUAAUUAUCAUAGGUUUAUGAUAUGUAUUAUUGUGGAAUUAUUAUUCAAUUAUUGUUUAGCAGAACUAA
Long non-coding RNA from Spinacia oleracea (spinach), 993 nucleotides. RefSeq lists it as uncharacterized. The transcript has 3 exons. NCBI's taxonomy places the organism in Eukaryota, Viridiplantae, Streptophyta, Magnoliopsida, Caryophyllales, Amaranthaceae. The record is from RefSeq and is a predicted model, not a curated record.